AUUUAAGUAGUUUAAAAAAUGUCGGUUUGUGAUAUCGAAGUUGUAAUAGUCUUGUUACCUUAAAUU
Molecule: transfer RNA, 66 nt
Filed under: Neogeoscapheus hanni
Lineage: Eukaryota; Metazoa; Arthropoda; Insecta; Blattodea; Blaberidae
Description: tRNA-His
Source: RNAcentral